GAGGCUGGGGCUCAGUGGUAGAGUGCUCCCCUAGCAUGGGUGAGACACUGGGUUUGAGCCUCAGCACCACA
RNAcentral lists this transfer RNA (71 nucleotides) under Marmota monax (woodchuck). Its description in RNAcentral is "tRNA.Ala". Lineage: Eukaryota; Metazoa; Chordata; Mammalia; Rodentia; Sciuridae. The record is from RNAcentral.